UACGAGAGGUCCAAACGUUAUUCGGAAUCACUGGGCUUACAGAGUUCGUAGGCGGUUCUACAAGUGGGGUGUGAAAGCCCUCGGCUCAACCGAGGAACUGCGCUCCAAACUGUAGAACUAGAGGGAGAUAGAGGUGAGCGGAACUGAUGGUGGAGCGGUGAAAUGCGUUGAUAUCAUCAGGAACAUCGGAGGCGAAGGCGGCUCACUGGGUCUCUUCUGACGCUGAGGAACGAAAGCGUGGGGAGCGAACAGG
Molecule: ribosomal RNA, 253 nt
Filed under: uncultured bacterium
Lineage: Bacteria
Description: partial 16S ribosomal RNA
Rfam family: Bacterial small subunit ribosomal RNA
Source: RNAcentral